AGACUAACAAUGAAUUUAUUAUCUUCCAGUGAGAACAGUUGAGCGAAUUUCACACCUCACACAAUUGCAAAGGAAUUACGGGCACAUUGACAACACUUGACUCAGUUUGCUUCCAGGAUGAUGUAUUUUUGGAAUUGCUCGGACACCUUCUUGCAUUCUGACCUCUCCGUGCAUCCAACUUCCUUUAAGGUCUCCCAGAAGUGGAAUGAUGCCGCUUCCUCCGCAGUCUCAAGAUGGACGGCACAAAUAAAGACCAUUUUUACCAAUAGUGCAAUUUCACCCUUAAUAGAUCAAACUCUGUCUCCAAAGCCUGGCACAACACAAGAAGCAACAGGAACCUUGACUAUCUAUAGGAAUUCUUGUUUAUCUUUGGAAGGUCAAAGCCUAUCUCAAUUUCAGUUUUCAGCUUAACAUGGGAAAGGUUCAGCUCUUUAAAAAAACUGUGAUAAAAUGUCUAGAAGAAGAAGUCUGGCU
This is a long non-coding RNA of Manacus vitellinus (golden-collared manakin), 474 nucleotides long. RefSeq lists it as uncharacterized. Lineage: Eukaryota; Metazoa; Chordata; Aves; Passeriformes; Pipridae. The transcript is spliced from 3 exons. The record is from RefSeq and is a predicted model, not a curated record.